Molecule: ribosomal RNA, 700 nt
Filed under: uncultured archaeon
Lineage: Archaea
Description: bacterial SSU rRNA
Rfam family: Archaeal small subunit ribosomal RNA
Source: RNAcentral
GGAUAACCUACCCUUAGGACUGGGAUAACCUUGGGAAACUGAGGCUAAUACCGGAUAGGCAAUUUUUCCUGUAAUGGUUUUUUGUUUAAAUGUUUUUUCGCCUAAGGAUGGGUCUGCGGCCGAUUAGGUAGUUGGUUAGGUAAUGGCUUACCAAGCCGUUGAUCGGUACGGGUUGUGAGAGCAAGAGCCCGGAGAUGGAACCUGAGACAAGGUUCCAGGCCCUACGGGGUGCAGCAGGCGCGAAACCUCCGCAAUGUGAGAAAUCGCGACGGGGGGAUCCCAAGUGCCAUUCUUAACGGGAUGGCUUUUCAUUAGUGUAAAGAGCUUUUGGAAUAAGAGCUGGGCAAGACCGGUGCCAGCCGCCGCGGUAACACCGGCAGCUCUAGUGGUAACAAUUUUUAUUGGGCCUAAAGCGUCCGUAGCCGGUUUAAUAAGUCUCUGGUGAAAUCCUGCAGCUUAACUGUGGGAAUUGCUGGAGAUACUAUUAGACUUGAGACCGGGAGAGGUUAGAGGUACUCCCAGGGUAGAGGUGAAAUUCUGUAAUCCUGGGAGGACCGCCUGUUGCGAAGGCGUCUAACUGGAACGGUUCUGACGGUGAGGGACGAAAGUUAGGGGCGCGAACCGGAUUAGAUACCCGGGUAGUCCUAACUGUAAACGAUGCGGACUUGGUGUUGGGGUGGCUUUGAGCUGCUUCAGUGCC